GUACACUCCUACGGGAGGCAGCAGUGGGGAAUUUUGGACAAUGGGCGAAAGCCUGAUCCAGCCAUGCCGCGUGCAGGAUGAAGGCCUUCGGGUUGUAAACUGCUUUUGUACGGAACGAAACGGCCUUUUCUAAUAAAGAGGGCUAAUGACGGUACCGUAAGAAUAAGCACCGGCUAACUACGUGCCAGCAGCCGCGGUAAUACGUAGGGUGCAAGCGUUAAUCGGAAUUACUGGGCGUAAAGCGUGCGCAGGCGGUUAUGUGAGACAGUUGUGAAAUCCCCGGGCUCAACCUGGGAACUGCAUCUGUGACUGCAUAGCUAGAGUACGGUAGAGGGGGAUGGAAUUCCGCGUGUAGCAGUGAAAUGCGUAGAUAUGCGGAGGAACACCGAUGGCGAAGGCAAUCCCCUGGACCUGUACUGACGCUCAUGCACGAAAGCGUGGGGAGCAAACAGGAUUAGAAACCCGAGUAGUCCCAUGAU
Molecule: ribosomal RNA, 479 nt
Filed under: uncultured organism
Description: partial 16S ribosomal RNA
Rfam family: Bacterial small subunit ribosomal RNA
Source: RNAcentral